AAAAUCCUACAGAAGUAUUCUUUCUUUUCUAGGUGGCCGUCUCCUGCUCCUCCUACCCACCCGCCUCAAUCAUGCUUUGGGUCUCCAUCCAGAACGUGUUCUUCGAGGACAGUAACUCCCACAGGGAAAGCAGCAUCUGGCCAUGUGGGUGAUCUAUUCUCCAGCCUCUCGAAGUUGUGUAGUUAAUGUACACCCGGUGCAUUCAAGGCUGUAGAACUGGAACACAGGGCGCUAAACCUACCCGGAGAAGACUGUAAACAGUAAGUGCAAAAAUUAUGUGUGGAAUUCUAUACACCGUUGAAAUACGAGAUCCAGCUUUGA
Molecule: long non-coding RNA, 321 nt
Filed under: Canis lupus familiaris (dog)
Lineage: Eukaryota; Metazoa; Chordata; Mammalia; Carnivora; Canidae
Description: lncRNA (ENSCAFG00805004045.1, ENSCAFG00845003733.1)
Source: RNAcentral